Molecule: ribosomal RNA, 449 nt
Filed under: uncultured bacterium
Lineage: Bacteria
Description: bacterial SSU rRNA
Rfam family: Bacterial small subunit ribosomal RNA
Source: RNAcentral
UUCCAGACUCCUACGGGAGGCAGCAGUGGGGAAUAUUGGGCAAUGGGCGCAAGCCUGACCCAGCAAUGCCGCGUGAAGGAAGAAGGCUUUCGGGUUGUAAACUUCUUUGACAGGGGAAGAGCAGAAGACGGUACCCUGAAAACAAGCCACGGCUAACUACGUGCCAGCAGCCGCGGUAAUACGUAGGUGGCAAGCGUUGUCCGGAUUUACUGGGUGUAAAGGGCGUGUAGCCGGGCUUACAAGUCAGAUGUGAAAUCCGGGGGCUCAACCCCCGAACUGCAUUUGAAACUGUAGGUCUUGAGUAUCGGAGAGGCAGGCGGAAUUCCUAGUGUAGCGGUGAAAUGCGUAGAUAUUAGGAGGAACACCAGUGGCGAAGGCGGUCAACUGGACAGCAACUGACGCUGAGGCGCGAAAGCGUGGGUAGCGAACGGGAUUAGAUACCCGCGUAU